RNAcentral lists this long non-coding RNA (945 nucleotides) under Sipha flava (yellow sugarcane aphid). RNAcentral describes it as "uncharacterized LOC112690819, transcript variant X2". The record is from RNAcentral. Lineage: Eukaryota; Metazoa; Arthropoda; Insecta; Hemiptera; Aphididae.
AAACGUGAAAGUGAAAUACUAUAAUACUCGUAUAAAGAAAAGUUGUAUUAAUUCAUUAAUUAAUGUAUAUUGUGUUCUAGUGUUAUGUAUUACUAGUUCAUACAACAAAAAAUUGGCGAAAUGUUCACACCUUUCAUUUUGUUUUAUGGCUCAAAUGUUAAUUAUUUUUCAUCACAUCAUACAUCAAUUAUGUUGGAUGACAUAUAAUACAGUUAUUAUUCAACUCUGCCAAGUGAUUAUUGUACGUACCCUAUUUAUUUUUGAACAGCAUGGUACGGAAAUAUUCAUUAAGCCAAAGUCUUCAACCACAUGGGAUUAUUUGAAUUAUCAAAACAACGGGUUCCUGUGCAUAUCAUUGGUUUUCUAUAUACCAACGCGAAAGCUUGACAAUAAUUUAACAAGCGAAAAAGUGAUUGCAUCAUGUGCUAUACUCAAUUUGGUUACCGUUGUUUUUAUUCAAGCGUUUAUGCCACUAAAUAUAUACAUAUACGAAAAUGGAUAAGACACAGUUUGUAUUACUCCUUUGUGUUUUUAUAAACUUGAAAGUCAUGAUCAAUAUCAUCGCAUUCGAAGGCCGAAAAAAUAUAUUUAUAGGUACCGUUAUGUGGAAGUCUUGUAAAUCUUACGGACAGGAAAUGGCCGACCUAAAUGUUCGUGGUAUCCCGGUGGACCAGUAAGCAAUAUACAAUGGUUCACUAUACAUAGAACUUCUCAGAACAAUGUUUUUAAUACGAUGGGAUGGUAUUGGGAUAUCAUUGAUUUCAAAUUUGAAGAUACCCAUAGAUUGUCCUAGAACUCAGUGGUCGUUCUAAUUGCCUACAGCCAACACUCAACUCAUAAAUCAGUACUUGGAUUUUUAAUCACAGCCCGACUUUAUAUAUUUAGAUACAUUUGUUACAUUAAUUAAAUUUAUAUCAUCGACAUUAAACAUACUUAUGUACAGAG